UAAGGAAUAUUGGACAAUGGAGGCAACUCUGAUCCAGCCAUGCCGCGUGAAGGAUUAAGGCCCUAUGGGUUGUAAACUUCUUUUAGACGGGACAAAACCCCUUUACGUGUAAAGGGUUGAUGGUACUGUCAGAAUAAGCAUCGGCUAACUUCGUGCCAGCAGCCGCGGUAAUACGAAGGAUGCAAGCGUUAUCCGGAAUUAUUGGGUUUAAAGGGUGCGUAGGCGGACUAAUAAGUCAGUGGUGAAAGCCUGCAGCUUAACUGCAGAAUUGCCGUUGAUACUGUUAGUCUUGAGUACAGUUGAGGUAGGCGGAAUGUGUCAUGUAGCGGUGAAAUGCUUAGAUAUGACACAGAACACCGAUUGCGAAGGCAGCUUGCUAAGCUGUAACUGACGCUGAGGCACGAAAGCGUGGGGAGCAAACAGG
Molecule: ribosomal RNA, 424 nt
Filed under: uncultured bacterium
Lineage: Bacteria
Description: bacterial SSU rRNA
Rfam family: Bacterial small subunit ribosomal RNA
Source: RNAcentral